Molecule: ribosomal RNA, 368 nt
Filed under: uncultured organism
Description: bacterial SSU rRNA
Rfam family: Bacterial small subunit ribosomal RNA
Source: RNAcentral
CGGAGGGUGCAAGCGUUGUCCGGAUUUAUUGGGUUUAAAGGGUGCGUAGGUGGUUUGAUAAGUCCGGGGUGAAAGCCCACAGCUCAACUGUGGAACUGCCCUGGAUACUGUCAGACUUGAGGUUAGACGAGGUUGGCGGAAUAGAAGGUGUAGCGGUGAAAUGCAUAGAUACCUUCUAGAACCCCGAUUGCGUAGGCAGCUGACUAGGCUACACCCGACACUGAGGCACGAAAGCGUGGGGAGCGAACAGGAUUAGAUACCCUGGUAGUCCACGCCGUAAACGAUGGAUACUCGCUGGUGGCGAUAGACAGUCACUGGCUUAGCGAAAGCGGUAAGUAUCCCACCUGGGGAGUACGCUCGCAAGAGUG